UACGUAGGGGGCAAGCGUUGUCCGGAUUUAUUGGGCGUAAAGAGCGUGUAGGCGGCCUGGAAGGUCCGUUGUGAAAACUCGAGGCUCAACCUCGAGACGUCGAUGGAAACCCUCAGGCUAGAGUCCGGAAGAGGAGAGUGGAAUUCCAGGUGUAGCGGUGAAAUGCGUAGAUAUCUGGAGGAACACCGGUGGCGAAGGCGGCAUCCUGGACCGGUAUUGACGCUGAGGCGCGAAAGCUAGGGGAGCAAACGGG
RNAcentral lists this ribosomal RNA (253 nucleotides) under uncultured bacterium. RNAcentral's name for it is "partial 16S ribosomal RNA". It matches the Rfam family "Bacterial small subunit ribosomal RNA", at positions 524 to 776 of the family's 1533-position model. The record is from RNAcentral.